RNAcentral lists this ribosomal RNA (492 nucleotides) under uncultured bacterium. RNAcentral describes it as "partial 16S ribosomal RNA". It matches the Rfam family "Bacterial small subunit ribosomal RNA", at positions 29 to 507 of the family's 1533-position model. The record is from RNAcentral.
AGUGAACGCUGGCGGUAGGCCUAACACAUGCAAGUCGAACGGCAGCACAGUAAGAGCUUGCUCUUACGGGUGGCGAGUGGCGGACGGGUGAGGAAUACAUCGGAAUCUACUUUUUCGUGGGGGAUAACGUAGGGAAACUUACGCUAAUACCGCAUACGACCUACGGGUGAAAGCAGGGGAUCUUCGGACCUUGCGCGAUUGAAUGAGCCGAUGUCGGAUUAGCUAGUUGGCGGGGUAAAGGCCCACCAAGGCGACGAUCCGUAGCUGGUCUGAGAGGAUGAUCAGCCACACUGGAACUGAGACACGGUCCAGACUCCUACGGGAGGCAGCAGUGGGGAAUAUUGGACAAUGGGCGCAAGCCUGAUCCAGCCAUACCGCGUGGGUGAAGAAGGCCUUCGGGUUGUAAAGCCCUUUUGUUGGGAAAGAAAAGCAGCAGGUUAAUACCCCACUGUUCUGCCGGUACCCAAAGAAUAAGCACCGGCUAACUUCGUG